RNAcentral lists this ribosomal RNA (253 nucleotides) under uncultured bacterium. RNAcentral describes it as "partial 16S ribosomal RNA". It matches the Rfam family "Bacterial small subunit ribosomal RNA", at positions 524 to 776 of the family's 1533-position model. The record is from RNAcentral.
UACGGAGGGAGCUAGCGUUGUUCGGAAUUACUGGGCGUAAAGCGCACGUAGGCGGCGAUUCAAGUCAGAGGUGAAAGCCCGGGGCUCAACCCCGGAACUGCCUUUGAAACUAGAUUGCUAGAAUCCUGGAGAGGUUAGUGGAAUUCCGAGUGUAGAGGUGAAAUUCGUAGAUAUUCGGAAGAACACCAGUGGCGAAGGCGACUUACUGGACACAUAUUGACGCUGAGGUGCGAAAGCGUGGGGAGCAAACAGG